Molecule: long non-coding RNA, 1345 nt
Filed under: Helianthus annuus (common sunflower)
Lineage: Eukaryota; Viridiplantae; Streptophyta; Magnoliopsida; Asterales; Asteraceae
Description: hypothetical non coding rna
Source: RNAcentral
CAACCCACCACAAUCCUUGUUUCAAGUAAUCCUAAAAUGACAGCAGCCUCAUCUCCCCUUUAAGUGUGUAUGUAUGCAAGUAGGACCUAACCUGAUGCAAGCCAAGUUGACCAAGGAGUGAUAAAUUUGGCUAAACAAAGACCUGGGCUCAUUGAAGGAAGUUCAUCAAGAAGGGCUUGAGCAUCUUGCAAAACGACUUUAGUCAAUGAAAUAAACUCAUUAGGAAGCGGUGGUGGUUCACACCCAGCACUUCUGUAAGUCGUCUUAUUCCCUGUUGUUUCCUGGUCCAUUUUUUACUAAAAGAUAUCAUGUGUGUGGUGUAAGUGCAACUUCAUCUUGUUCACUAGGCUUGUAAAACACCCCACGACCCGUACCCCACUUUUGAUAUAUAUAUAUAUCUUCACCAUAUCAGUCAGAAAAAUAUAAAGAAAUUUAAGAAAAAACAUUGUUCUUGAAACACCUCUUUUAUUUAAAAAAAAAAAAAUUAAAUAUAUACCUGGUCCGAGAGGCUGACGUAUUUCUCCAAGUGAAUUAUUCCGGGCCCAAGUAUUUUUUAAGUUGAUAUUUUGCUCGAGGUUCUUUCAUACGCAGACUCUGUUCUCAACCAAGGUGCGAUUAUACUAAAUGCUUGCGUUUCAUAUUCAAGAAAAAAAAUUAGCAGGAAUGUUGUGACAUUGCUUCAGAUUUCCACCAUGGAAUCCAUUCUGUGUGUAUAAAAAUUGUAAUAGGCAAGCAGAACAUGUUUCUUUGCAUAUGAAAAUCAAUGUUCAUAUAUUCAUAUAUAUAACAAUUUAUUAGUAACUUUCUGUAAAAUAUACGUUAGCCAAUAAUAUUAUCCGAUAUUAUUGGUAUAUACAAGAUGCCUAUAUAUAAUACAUAAUAGAGAGUUAUCUACGGAAACAGUACAAGGUUGUCAAUCAGGGAUAUCACAAAUUAUCAGAACUGAAUCUUCCGGUCUAUAAUGCAUCCAUCAUUUAUUGUGACAACAUCUCCGCAGUAUACCUAGCUGAUAACCAUGUGCAACACCAACGAACCAAACGAAUUGAAUUAGAUAUACAUUUCAUUCGAGAAAAAGUUCGCCUUGGCACAGUAAAGGUCCUUCAUGUUCCAGCAGAUUAUCAGUACGCAGACAUCUUCACCAAAGGGUUACCGAAUUUGUGUGGUGGUUUAAUGUUUGAGCACGAAGGACUUUCGUCACAGACCCUUAGCGACGAAAUAUAGGACUUUCGUCACUCAUCAUGAGCUCGACGAAACACUAGGUGUUUCGCCAGGAGAGUGUUUUCGCCAAUAAGGGCUUCGGCCCAAUCCAUUUCGUGGCCCAACUGUUUAAUGUUAUGUAAUAUUA